AGGAAAACCAGUUGGGAGGCCAUGGGGAGAAUUCUGAGAUAAGGUCCUGUUGUGGAGUGUGAAAGGAGUUCCGUAGCUGGUUUCCUCACUGCUGUCAUUGCCACUGCGAUGCUUCCGAGGACAGCUUGCAAAGCCUGUGCUUCCCGUGAAGUGACGUGUAGUGGCUUUGCCCUCCCUUUGCCAAGCCUGUGGGCAGAGAACUGCAUGGGAAACACCGGAUUCCAGAGGCUUUUGAAAGGAACCAAGCUCUGAACGCGAUUGUUGAAGCUUCAUCUGUGAAGGGGCGCCCCGAGCUGUCUUGGUCUGUCCUGACCUCUCUCAGCCGGAGUCUGGAAUCAGCUUAUCAAGUAGCUUGCUCUGGAGUAGGAUGCAGCCAUUCAAGAGUGGUCUCAAAAUUCUCCUACCUUCCCCAAGGCAGAAUUGUGGAGUGGCCUUGUCGUUCCUUAAACUCGUCUCCUUAAACUCGAGUUUUUAAUUUUGACUUUUUCUCAUCCUUACCAAAUGUUGGAGCACAAUACUUGUCGUUAAUACUCUAUUAAACAGUUACACAGCUGGCCGUGUGCUUCA
Long non-coding RNA from Chinchilla lanigera (long-tailed chinchilla), 567 nucleotides. RefSeq lists it as uncharacterized. The record is from RefSeq and is a predicted model, not a curated record. NCBI's taxonomy places the organism in Eukaryota, Metazoa, Chordata, Mammalia, Rodentia, Chinchillidae. The transcript has 2 exons.